Long non-coding RNA from Pipra filicauda (Wire-tailed manakin), 360 nucleotides. RefSeq lists it as uncharacterized. The record is from RefSeq and is a predicted model, not a curated record. The transcript has 4 exons. Lineage: Eukaryota; Metazoa; Chordata; Aves; Passeriformes; Pipridae.
AGCAAGCAAGGAAUGUUACUUGUAGUACUGCCAGAUGCCCAGAGGCCAGGAGAUGAGCUCUCCUGGUACAUAAAUAAAUCUGAAGGUGACUGCACCAGAUGAAAUAUUAAUAAAAACUCCUCCUUCCCACUUCUCCCAUAUCUUUGGUGAUUCUUCGUGUCCAGGCAAACCAGAUGCAAAGAUGAGCAUUUAACUGCAUCCCAGUUGCUGAAGUACUACUGCCAUGUGUUGUAAAUAGAAAGUUGCCAGAGUGCAGUUCAAGAAUGGUGGCAUGGAAAAACUGCAAAAGGCAGAAUUGUUGCCUCCCAAACACAGUAUUUGUGAAGACUAGAUGUCCCUUUAACAAGGAAUAACAGCAUA